RNAcentral lists this long non-coding RNA (1261 nucleotides) under Bos indicus x Bos taurus (hybrid cattle). RNAcentral's name for it is "lncRNA (ENSBIXG00005028735.1)". Lineage: Eukaryota; Metazoa; Chordata; Mammalia; Artiodactyla; Bovidae. The record is from RNAcentral.
AUGACUACGAAGGGACCCAAACAGACUUCUCUCCUUCAUCUGAACUUGAUGAGGACCUGGAGCUUGGUGCCAGCAGAGGCCUCUUGGGCCCGUCCACCUCUUCAGAGAGCCCAGAGGAAUCUGGGUCACUUCCUGCCUCUGGACUCGCCUGUCCGUGGACACUGUGUGUGCUGCCACGUGUUCUCUGUUGUCCACGGUGCUGUUUGGGUUUCUCCCAGGACACUCUUAAGAGGUGAGCCUGCCCAAUCACCCUGUGGCUGAAAAUUGUCAGCUUUUCAGGGCACUUCUCUACUGUUCUUCAUACUAGUUGUUACCUCCCAGCUGCCCCGUAAAUUAGUUCCCUUUUUUCUCCACAGCCUCUCCACCAUUUAUUCUUUCCUCUUUUUUUUUUUUUGUAUUGACUUUCUGAUGAUGGCUCUUCAUAUGGAACCGGUUUAUUCCUUUUCAAAUUAAAUUUUCCUGUGUAUGGAUUCACGAUAUUGAGCAUGUUUCAUGGACGUUUUAAACUGUUAACAAGGAAACUAGCAUUUACCAGUUGUAAUUAGUUUUCCAAGUCUUUUCCUUUUGCAAAAAAUUAUUUUUGAUUAGUUGUAUGAAAAUUGUUUGACAGCAGGUAUCAUUUACAGUCUAGGAAUGGGCUUUAGGUUCCGGGUGUUGGAAACAGCCACAAGAUGGCAGCACUUCUUCAUGCUCCACUCUGGUACUAUGCUAAUGAAGCCUUAGGGUCAGUUUGACUAUCUGACUCUACCUUAGGUUGAAUAUACCAGCUGGAACCACUGUCAGCUUAUGUCUUAUUACUUUUUUUUUUUUUUAGUUUUUAUAUUUCUUGUAGUACAUUUGGUUUAUUGUUGUGGAGGUUGUAGGUAUACAGGAUCUCAUUUAGUUGUACACAUAUACAUAUCUGUUCAACUGUUGCCCUCUUUUCACAUGUAAGGUGUUACACAGUGUUCUGUUACCCGCUUUCCUAUGUAGCUGUUGGUUCCUUGUUGACAGUCUUAUAUAUCAGUGUGAUACAUCACUCCCAACCUCCUGAUGAAUCCCAUCUUGCCUUCCCCCUUGGUAACCAUGCGCUUGUUUUCUAAGUCUGUGCAUCUCUUUCACUUUCAUAAAUUAGUGGAUUGGUAUCAAUUUUUCCAUUUCACAUACAACUGAUAUAUGAUGUUUGUCUUUUUCUGACUUACCUUAGUACUGUAUCCCAUAUUGUCUCCCAAUUCAUAGGUUACUACAAAUGGCAUUAUUUCUUUUUCAUGGCAGAAUCCUA